This is a long non-coding RNA of Cairina moschata (Muscovy duck), 2289 nucleotides long. The record is from Ensembl. NCBI's taxonomy places the organism in Eukaryota, Metazoa, Chordata, Aves, Anseriformes, Anatidae.
GAUGGAUUUGUGGGGAUAAUCAUAUGAAAUCAAGGCUACGUUUGGCCUGUUAAUAUUGGGAGAUGUUGGCCUCUAGAAGAGCUGCAUUUUAAACUUCAUAAAUGCAAAUAAUUUCUAGAAUGUUUUGUGAAAUAUCUGUGUGCUUUUUAAAAGAUUUUUAUUGUUAAAUCUGCAAGUCAGUUAACUAAAUAUGGUUUUUGUUUGUUUGUUUGUUGCAAAAAUAUAGUAUUUUCAUGUCAAAUCCUUUAAUGCUGUUCAGCAGAAUUAUUUUUAAAAUGUACACUGCAAUUUUACUUUAGCCGCUACUGUAAGCAGUUUUUUUCACCUGUUGUCAAGCAGCACCAAGUUGUGGAUCUCUUAGGAGCCAUUCGUGCAGAAGAUAAAUGUAAUGAAGAGUAAAUGUUGUAAACGUUCAGUCAUAGAACCACAAAAUAUCCUGAGUUGGAAGGACCCACAAGGAUUGAGUCCAUCUCCAGACUUCAUGAAUACCAACAUGCCUGAGGCCAUGACCACUUCCAUGAAGACUUUGCUUCAGUGCCUGACCACCCCGUCAGUGAAGAACUUUUGAAGCAAACAUAAAAUCUGAACUUCCCUUGAUGAAAUUUUAAGCCAUUCCCUUGGGCCUAUCAUGGACCACCAGAGAGGAGAGAUCUGCACCUCCCUCUCUGCUCUCUCUCAUGAGGAAGCUGUAGACAGCAAUGAGAUUACCCCUAAGACUCAUCUUCUCUAAGCUGAACAAGCCAAUUGUGCUCAGCUGCUCCUUGUAAGUCAAACCCUCUAGUUCUUUCAUCAUUUUUGUUGCCCUCCUUUGGACAGACCGAAAUAGUACUCAAGGUGAGACUGUACCAGUGCUGAGUACGGUGGGACAAUGACUUUUUUUCUAUUAGCUGUACUGAGCUUAAUGCACUACAGGAUAUUGUUGGUCCUUCUGGCCACCAGGACAUAUUGUUGACUCAUAUUGAGCUUAACAGGAAAGAGGAAGAAACUGGGUACAUGUAAACUUGUUGUUUCCAUUUUCCUUGAUUCCAGGAACCUACAGAAAGAUAUAAAACUGACUGAGCUAUUUUAAAAGAUCUUUUACAUUAGAUUUGAAAUAAACUUUCAAAAUUUUUUGUUUAAACAAAUUUGGACUUCACAUUCUAUAUUUCAGAGACCUGCUGCUCGGCAAUGCAGAUUUUACAGAGACACAUAGCUUAGAACUUACUGAUGAUCUAAUUAAACGAGGAAUUAUUGAUACAGUUAUGCAAAACUUUAAUGAUGAUAUUCUCAAAUUCAUUAUGAAAGGGAUCUCUGAAGGGAAUCAGACUGAUGUGAUUCACCCUGUACCGUGCUAGGCUCAUCAGCUUCUUUGUAUCACUCCACUACUCUAAGAAGUCCAUCAUCCAGCAAGACUUGAACCCUUUGCAUGUACAUCAUCCAUUUCACUCAUAUCUGAAGUUUAGAGUUUUCAGAGUAACAUAGCAACAGAACUUUCCUAUCUCCUCCUUCCUCUUCAUUUCCUGGGAUAUGGCUUCUCUUCCUAUGGAAAUCUCUUCAACCAGCUCUUAGGUGACUAAAAUAUAUUCAUUUUAACAGGUGGAAAUAGAAAAAGUAUUUUUUUUUUUCCUGGAUUAUUGCUGUACUACUUGUUUCUAUAGAAACUUUCGGGCAACAGGAAGAAUAUUUGAUGGUAAUAACAGUGGUGUGACAUUAAACAGUAAAAAAGGAAAAACACGAAUAGGAUAAACACAUUACAACAUUCAGAUGUAUUUGAGCAGAAAAAAGACUCUAACUACAGGUCUUUACAUUUUUAUUUGUUGACUUGAAGGCAUGUCCUAAAAGAAUAAAGAGAAGCCAGAAUUAAGCUGACGUGGCCAUCAUCAUUCUGAACCUUUACCUUUCCGUCCUUUUCUCCCUUUAAGCUCGUCAUAGAUUUUAAGCAUUUGGGGUUAAGAUUCAUAUCUUACUAAGCUUUUGCAGCAAACAGAAGACUGAAACAUAAAUCUUUAUGAUGAUCUGUGGAUACUAUCUCAAUAGAAUCAAUAAUGCAGCCAUGUUAUUUGAAGACUUCUAGAAAUAACCAUGUGGUUUCCUGUAAUACUGUCUUACCUUGAUUAUUAUGUAGAUUGCUUUCUUCCACAAAUCUGUUUCCAAUCACAGGAAUGGAACAUGAACCAUGAUUAGGCAAAGUAAUAAACUAAAACUGGAAAAAAAAAAAAAAAAUAGUAUAAAUCUCUUUUCUCAGUGCAAAAAUCGUCCAAUGCAUAUCACAAUUUAAAAGUGGAAAAAUAUAAGGCUGUAUAUUAUGUC